GAUGAACGCUGGCGGCGUGCCUAAUACAUGCAAGUCGAGCGAACAGACGAGGAGCUUGCUCCUCUGACGUUAGCGGCGGACGGGUGAGUAACACGUGGAUAACCUACCUAUAAGACUGGGAUAACUUCGGGAAACCGGAGCUAAUACCGGAUAACAUGUUGAACCGCAUGGUUCAACAGUGAAAGACGGUCUUGCUGUCACUUAUAGAUGGAUCCGCGCCGCAUUAGCUAGUUGGUAAGGUAACGGCUUACCAAGGCAACGAUGCGUAGCCGACCUGAGAGGGUGAUCGGCCACACUGGAACUGAGACACGGUCCAGACUCCUACGGGAGGCAGCAGUAGGGAAUCUUCCGCAAUGGGCGAAAGCCUGACGGAGCAACACCGCGUGAGUGAAGAAGGUCUUCGGAUCGUAAAACUCUGUUAUUAGGGAAGAACAAAUGUGUAAGUAACUAUGCACGUCUUGACGGUACCUAAUCAGAAAGCCACGGCUAACUACGUG
This 497-nucleotide ribosomal RNA is filed under the name uncultured bacterium. RNAcentral describes it as "partial 16S ribosomal RNA". It matches the Rfam family "Bacterial small subunit ribosomal RNA", at positions 28 to 507 of the family's 1533-position model. The record is from RNAcentral.